UACGGAGGGGGUUAGCGUUGUUCGGAAUUACUGGGCGUAAAGGGCGCGUAGGCGGCCUUGUAAGUCUCGUGUGAAAGCCCUCGGCUUAACUGAGGAUCUGCACGGGAUACUGUAAGGCUCGAGUUCGGGAGAGGAAAGCGGAAUUCCGGGUGUAGCGGUGAAAUGCGUAGAUAUCCGGAGGAACACCAGAGGCGAAGGCGGCUUUCUGGACCGACACUGACGCUGAGGCGCGAAAGCUAGGGGAGCAAACGGG
RNAcentral lists this ribosomal RNA (253 nucleotides) under uncultured bacterium. RNAcentral's name for it is "partial 16S ribosomal RNA". It matches the Rfam family "Bacterial small subunit ribosomal RNA", at positions 524 to 776 of the family's 1533-position model. The record is from RNAcentral.